UCUGACUCCUCGCUCGGGUCUGCAGAUGCCCCAUGAGUGAUGGGAACAGGGUGUGAAGGAUGAAAACACAUACGAUCUGCUGUGACCAGAAUCACAAGACCUUGAAAGGGGGAAAAGAGGCAUCCUUGAAGCUUCCUCAGAACAGUUGCUGACUGUGAAGCCUGGACCACCAUAGUGAGCCCCUGUGGUAAGCUCGAAUCCUGGAGGUGGAGAUGGCGGAUCGAGGCUGGAAACGUACGGUUCCUUGAGACAGCUGUGACUCCCAUGUGAGCCCACACGGAGUGCUCAAAUCCUGUCUCUGAUUCUCUGAAGCGCACAGAGGAACGGUUUUCUGGUGCCCGUGUGGUGAAAGGACAGGGCAGACUUGCACGGCACCCUCCUGGUGGUAGGAACCCUCGCUAUCUCUGUAGAGGUUCUGCCCACCUCACUGGCCCCUGUACCUGCAAGACUGUUGCUCUGGUGUCCAUACCUUCCAACUGCUGUGGACAUCCUUGGGACUGCAACCUGGCAGCUGCAGCUGAGACCAGAGUUACGUGUGCUCCAAGUUCCCCGUGGCUUCUGUCUUCGUCUCCUUUGUUUGUGUUCUGAUAAGAUACUCCAACCAAAGCAACUCAAGGGAGGAAGAGUUUUUUGCUUCAGCUCACAGUUCAAGAGUACAGACCAUCAUGGCGGGAAAGUCAAGGCAGCAGGAGCUUGAAAUGGCUGGUGACAUCUCACCUUCACGAAAGAAGCAGAAAUCAAUGGAUGUGGGCUUGUGCUAAGCCCAAGGUCUCCAAUGAUACACCUGGGAAUCCUGGUCAAGGUGGUUCUUCCCACAUAAGGAAACUAAACCAAGGCCGUCCCCCAUCUGCACGCCCAGAAACCCACCUCCAUCUCCCCGAUGAGUCUACAUCCUAACAAGUUGACAAUAGCAACUAUGAUCACUCCCUGAAGAUUAAGACUGAGAGCCCCUCCCCACGACCUGCUAACCAGCCAUGGGUCUCUGUGUUAAUGCCCCUGGCUCUCUUGGCCUUUCUGUCUCUCUUUAAUUUCAGUCCUAAGUCUGACACUAUGGCAAGUGAGAUAAUGGAAAGGGAUGGUGGCAGGAGGGGAGAGGGACCUGCAGUUCCCACGUUUCACGUGACAAGUGGAUUCCAUAGGUUCUUCCAAAUAAAACUUGCU
Molecule: long non-coding RNA, 1161 nt
Organism: Psammomys obesus (fat sand rat)
Lineage: Eukaryota; Metazoa; Chordata; Mammalia; Rodentia; Muridae
Exons: 4
Source: RefSeq, a predicted model, not a curated record